GCAUGUCUAGCUCAGUUGGUAUAGCGCAAGGCUCUUAACCUUAUUGUCCUGGGUUCGAGACCCAGGGAGUGCA
This 73-nucleotide transfer RNA is filed under the name Ipomoea nil (Japanese morning glory). It matches the Rfam family "tRNA". From Rfam's summary of the family: Transfer RNA (tRNA) molecules are approximately 80 nucleotides in length. Their secondary structure includes four short double-helical elements and three loops (D, anti-codon, and T loops). Further hydrogen bonds mediate the characteristic L-shaped molecular structure. tRNAs have two regions of fundamental functional importance: the anti-codon, which is responsible for specific mRNA codon recognition, and the 3' end, to which the tRNAs corresponding amino acid is attached (by aminoacyl-tRNA synthetases). tRNAs cope with the degeneracy of the genetic code in two manners: having more than one tRNA (with a specific anti-codon) for a particular amino acid; and 'wobble' base-pairing, i.e. permitting non-standard base-pairing at the 3rd anti-codon position. The record is from Rfam by way of RNAcentral. Lineage: Eukaryota; Viridiplantae; Streptophyta; Magnoliopsida; Solanales; Convolvulaceae.